UUAGGAUGUUUGUAUUUA
Molecule: small nuclear RNA, 18 nt
Filed under: Arabidopsis thaliana (thale cress)
Lineage: Eukaryota; Viridiplantae; Streptophyta; Magnoliopsida; Brassicales; Brassicaceae
Description: snRNA_17813
Source: RNAcentral